RNAcentral lists this ribosomal RNA (421 nucleotides) under uncultured bacterium. Its description in RNAcentral is "bacterial SSU rRNA". It matches the Rfam family "Bacterial small subunit ribosomal RNA", at positions 355 to 775 of the family's 1533-position model. The record is from RNAcentral.
UCGAGAAUCUUCGGCAAUGGGCGAAAGCCUGACCGAGCGACGCCGCGUGCGGGAUGAAGGCCCUCGGGUUGUAAACCGCUGUCAGUGGGGAGGAAGGCUCUGUGAAGAGCAGGGUUUGACCUAUCCGCAGAGGAAGUCCGGGCUAAGUUCGUGCCAGCAGCCGCGGUAACACGAACCGGACAAACGUUAUUCGGAAUCACUGGGCUUAAAGGGUGCGUAGGCGGUCUGACAAGUUGGGUGUGAAAUCCCUCGGCUCAACCGAGGAAUAGCGCUCAAAACUGUUGGACUUGAGGGAGUUAGAGGUAAGCGGAACUUAGGGUGGAGCGGUGAAAUGCGUUGAUAUCCUAAGGAACACCAGUGGCGAAAGCGGCUUACUGGAGCUUUUCUGACGCUGAGGCACGAAAGCCAGGGGAGCGAACGG